RNAcentral lists this ribosomal RNA (573 nucleotides) under Tuber umbilicatum. RNAcentral's name for it is "eukaryotic LSU rRNA". The stretch from base 221 to 374 matches the Rfam family "5.8S ribosomal RNA". Lineage: Eukaryota; Fungi; Ascomycota; Pezizomycetes; Pezizales; Tuberaceae. The record is from RNAcentral.
UGGAAGUAAAAAGUCGUAACAAGGUUUCCGUAGGUGAACCUGCGGAAGGAUCAUUAUGCAUUCAUGGGAUACCAAAGUGUUCCCUGACACAAACCCUCCCUGCGUAUCAAUCCAUGUUGCUUUCCCAGGUGCUUGCUCACCUGGGAGAGGGCCUAUCCAUAACGAAUUAUUGAAUCAGCUGUCUGAGUUGGCCCAGCGCCAUAUUCUUUAAAUAAGUUAAAACUUUCAACAACGGAUCUCUUGGCUCUCGCAUCGAUGAAGAACGCAGCGAAAUGCGAUAAGUAAUGUGAAUUGCAGAAUUCAGUGAAUCAUCGAAUCUUUGAACGCACAUUGCGCCCCUUGGUAUUCCUUGGGGCAUGCCUGUUCGAGCGUCACUACAAACCCACUCAUACAUAUCAUGGUAUUGAUGGAAGUGGACUGUGGUUACUCAUAAUAUAUCCCGAUCACCCCAUUGAAAUAUAUAGGCAGGACAUUAAACCUCUGCAAUGGACUUAGUAACUGUUGUGAAAACAUAGACCAGUCCUUUGCCUGGUUCCAGCCUGGCCUCGAUGGACCUCCAUCCAAGAUAAACUC